This 253-nucleotide ribosomal RNA is filed under the name uncultured bacterium. RNAcentral's name for it is "partial 16S ribosomal RNA". It matches the Rfam family "Bacterial small subunit ribosomal RNA", at positions 524 to 776 of the family's 1533-position model. The record is from RNAcentral.
UACGUAGGGUGCAGGCGUUAAUCGGAAUUACUGGGCGUAAAGCGUGCGCAGGCGGUUUCUUAAGUCAGAUGUGAAAGCCCCGGGCUUAACCUGGGAACUGCGUUUGAAACUGGGAGACUUGAGUGUGGCAGAGGGGGGUGGAAUUCCACGUGUAGCAGUGAAAUGCGUAGAGAUGUGGAGGAACACCAGUGGCGAAGGCGACUCUUUGGUCUGUAACUGACGCUGAGGCGCGAAAGCGUGGGGAGCAAACAGG